RNAcentral lists this ribosomal RNA (497 nucleotides) under uncultured bacterium. RNAcentral's name for it is "partial 16S ribosomal RNA". It matches the Rfam family "Bacterial small subunit ribosomal RNA", at positions 28 to 507 of the family's 1533-position model. The record is from RNAcentral.
GAUGAACGCUGGCGGCGUGCCUAAUACAUGCAAGUCGAGCGGAAGGACGAGAAGCUUGCUUCUCUGAUGUUAGCGGCGGACGGGUGAGUAACACGUGGAUAACCUACCUAUAAGACUGGGAUAACUUCGGGAAACCGGAGCUAAUACCGGAUAAUAUUUUGCACCGCAUGGUUCAAAAGUAAAAGAGGGUCUUGCUGUCACUUAUAGAGGGAUCCGCGCUGCAUUAGCUAGUUGGUAAGGUAACGGGUUACCAAGGCAACUAGGCAUAGCCGACCUGAGAGGGUGAUCGGCGACACUGGAGGUUAGACACGGUCCAGACUCCUACGGGAGGGAGCAGUAGGGAAUCUGCCGCAAUGGUCGAGAGCCUUACGGAGCAACGGCGCGUGAGUGAUGAAGGUGUUCGGAUCGUAAAGCUCUGUUACUAGGGAAGAACCGAUGUGUAAGUAACUGUGCACAUCUUGACGGUACCUAAUCAGAAAGCCACGGCUAACUACGUG